GGGACACGUGGUAUCCUGUCUGAAUAUGGGGGGACCAUCCUCCAAGGCUAAAUACUCCUGACUGACCGAUAGUGAACCAGUACCGUGAGGGAAAGGCGAAAAGAACCCCGGCGAGGGGAGUGAAAAAGAACCUGAAACCGUGUACGUACAAGCAGUGGGAGCCUCUUUUAUGGGGUGACUGCGUACCUUUUGUAUAAUGGGUCAGCGACUUAUAUUCUGUAGCAAGGUUAACCGAAUAGGGGAGCCGAAGGGAAACCGAGUCUUAACUGGGCGUUAAGUUGCAGGGUAUAGACCCGAAACCCGGUGAUCUAGCCAUGGGCAGGUUGAAGGUUGGGUAACACUAACUGGAGGACCGAACCGACUAAUGUUGAAAAAUUAGCGGAUGACUUGUGGCUGGGGGUGAAAGGCCAAUCAAACCGGGAGAUAGCUGGUUCUCCCCGAAAGCUAUUUAGGUAGCGCCUCGUGAACUCAUCUCCGGGGGUAGAGCACUGUUUCGGCAAGGGGGUCAUCCCGACUUACCAACCCGAUGCAAACUGCGAAUACCGGAGAAUGUUAUCACGGGAGACACACGGCGGGUGCUAACGUCCGUCGUGAAGAGGGAAACAACCCAGACCGCCAGCUAAGGUCCCAAAGUCAUGGUUAAGUGGGAAACGAUGUGGGAAGGCCCAGACAGCCAGGAUGUUGGCUUAGAAGCAGCCAUCAUUUAAAGAAAGCGUAAUAGCUCACUGGUCGAGUCGGCCUGCGCGGAAGAUGUAACGGGGCUAAACCAUGCACCGAAGCUGCGGCAGCGACACUAUGUGUUGUUGGGUAGGGGAGCGUUCUGUAAGCCUGUGAAGGUGUGCUGUGAGGCAUGCUGGAGGUAUCAGAAGUGCGAAUGCUGACAUAAGUAACGAUAAAGCGGGUGAAAAGCCCGCUCGCCGGAAGACCAAGGGUUCCUGUCCAACGUUAAUCGGGGCAGGGUGAGUCGACCCCUAAGGCGAGGCCGAAAGGCGUAGUCGAUGGGAAACAGGUUAAUAUUCCUGUACUUGGUGUUACUGCGAAGGGGGGACGGAGAAGGCUAUGUUGGCCGGGCGACGGUUGUCCCGGUUUAAGCGUGUAGGCUGGUUUUCCAGGCAAAUCCGGAAAAUCAAGGCUGAGGCGUGAUGACGAGGCACUACGGUGCUGAAGCAACAAAUGCCCUGCUUCCAGGAAAAGCCUCUAAGCAUCAGGUAACAUCAAAUCGUACCCCAAACCGACACAGGUGGUCAGGUAGAGAAUACCAAGGCGCUUGAGAGAACUCGGGUGAAGGAACUAGGCAAAAUGGUGCCGUAACUUCGGGAGAAGGCACGCUGAUAUGUAGGUGAAGUCCCUCGCGGAUGGAGCUGAAAUCAGUCGAAGAUACCAGCUGGCUGCAACUGUUUAUUAAAAACACAGCACUGUGCAAACACGAAAGUGGACGUAUACGGUGUGACGCCUGCCCGGUGC
This 1464-nucleotide ribosomal RNA is filed under the name Escherichia coli. Its description in RNAcentral is "partial 23S ribosomal RNA". It matches the Rfam family "Bacterial large subunit ribosomal RNA", at positions 419 to 1869 of the family's 2925-position model. The record is from RNAcentral. Lineage: Bacteria; Pseudomonadati; Pseudomonadota; Gammaproteobacteria; Enterobacterales; Enterobacteriaceae. RNAcentral also lists the same sequence under 1 other name.